UGCUACCGCCAAGUAACAGAGGAAGUGAUACAUCACACCUGUGCCCAGGAGCAACACUUCAAAGUGUGUCAGGCUGAAAAAUAUCACAGAGGACAAUUCCCUAAGGAAUGACGGACCAACAAGAUGAAAAGUAGCAGGAUCCUGGAAGGACUGGAACAGCUGCCAACUGGACUCUCAUCACAGACUUGGCGAAAGACUUGGGAAUUAUCCGUCCUCUGUUGGAGGAGGAGCUCUCUGCCCAAGCAUCCUAAACCUUCACCCUCUAUAAUAGGCCAUUCAUUUAAGGUGCACAAUGACCCAGAGAGUUGGCUACUAUUAUUAUUCCUGUUUCACAUGUAAGGUUACUGAGGCUCAGAGAAGGCUGAAUAAUUUGCCCAAAUCUAUCGCUGAACCGCCCUAAAUGGACCCAAUCUUACAAGCUUGCUUGGUGCUUGGAUGGGAGGCUGCUUAUCACUGCCAGAAGCCCGAGGCUUUACAAUAAUAAUAAAUUCACCCACAAUUCCCAAACCAUGUGGUGCAAACAACAUCAGAAGCCAGAUUCCUUCAGCUCUAAAGAACACACACAAGUUCUGACUCACAAGUUCCAGGGCUGAGGCUGAGAAUCUGCAUUUGUAUAAAGCUCCUCUGUUACAGUUUGGAUUAAAAAUAAAAUGUGCCCAC
RNAcentral lists this long non-coding RNA (660 nucleotides) under Heterocephalus glaber (naked mole-rat). RNAcentral's name for it is "lncRNA (ENSHGLG00000030795.2)". Lineage: Eukaryota; Metazoa; Chordata; Mammalia; Rodentia; Bathyergidae. The record is from RNAcentral.